CGACAGGUGAAAGUGUCACGCCUUCUCUCGGCAGGUGAGUGAUGUAAUGCCGAGCUCUGCAUCCCGCGCGCCGCCGCACACAGAGAGUAGAGUAGAGUAGACUUUAGUUUUCUUCUGCACGUUUCAAGAAACAGGCAUGCACAGUUUGCUGAACGUACCUUCUUCCACGCGGACAUUCUAGGUUUUCCUUGAGCUUGCGGCUACAUGGUGAGGAUGGCAGCGAAGUUUUGAGAGUGCAUGUGCUCUGCAGCUGCGGUGCUCCCUGGAGCUGCUGUAGCGCUUGUCUGCGCCGCUGGAUGGCGGAGUGCAGGACGUCGCACGCUCAGCCGCCAUCAUGGUUAUACAUUUCUGCCGCUGAUAUGUCCGUCGGAAAAGAAGUAUUACAGUCCAAGGUCCUGCAAAGACUAUAUCCUGGAGCCCAAAAGCAGAGUAUGCUGCAACCUGCUGCCCAGGAGCGGAGCAUACUUGCACCUGUGCCACCUGUAAAAAGACCUCAGUCCAUCCCACCCAAGAAGUCAGGUAAUGAGAAGAGUACAGCUGUACAAGGCAAAAAGCUCUACACUGUUCUUCCUCCUCCUGAAGGCUACCUCAUUAAUAGUGGGGAGGAUUUGGUCGCACUAUCCAAUCCAGAUCCCACUGACUCCGAGGACAGCCCAGCCGAUGCUGAUGACCAUGAGUUAAGUAAGAAGAGGAAAAGGAGGAUAAAGAAAAAAGUGUUACCCAAUACCACAGAGGAAGUGUCCACCCCUCCAGCAGAGGGCGCUGUACUGGGCCAGACAGAUGCAGCACAUCCCAGUGAUGAAGGGGGCACUGGAAGCUCAGUCAGCACAGAGCAGCUCAGCAAGAACAGAAAGAGGAAGAUGAAGAAAAAACGUCACAAAGAGAAAGUCCAAGCUCUUGGAUUGGUGCCUUGA
RNAcentral lists this long non-coding RNA (914 nucleotides) under Sinocyclocheilus anshuiensis. RNAcentral's name for it is "lncRNA (ENSSANG00000036341.1)". Lineage: Eukaryota; Metazoa; Chordata; Actinopteri; Cypriniformes; Cyprinidae. The record is from RNAcentral.